GACGAACCGUCCAAACGUUAUUCGGAAUCACCGGGCUUACAGAGUUCGUAGGCGGUCUGGAAAGUUGGGUGUGAAAUCCCUCGGCCUAACCGAGGAACUGCGCUUGAAACUACCAGACUCGAGGGAGAUAGAGGAAAGCGGAACUGAUGGUGGAGCGGUGAAAUGCGUUGAUAUCAUCAGGAACACCGGUGGCGAAGGCGGCUUUCUGGGUCUUACCUGACGCUGAGGAACGAAAGCCAGGGGAGCGAACGGG
RNAcentral lists this ribosomal RNA (253 nucleotides) under uncultured bacterium. Its description in RNAcentral is "partial 16S ribosomal RNA". It matches the Rfam family "Bacterial small subunit ribosomal RNA", at positions 524 to 776 of the family's 1533-position model. The record is from RNAcentral.